CCCUUAGAUGUUCUGGGCUGCACACGUGCUACACUGGCAGGUUCAGCGAGCUUCAUGCCCUGAUCUGAAAGGAAUGGUAAAUCUUUUCAAAACCUGCCGUGCUUGGGAUAGAUGUUUGCAAUUAUUCAUCUUCAACGAGGAUUGCCUUGUAAGCGCACGUCAUCAGCGUGCAUUGAAUACGACCCUGUAUUCUGUACACACCGCCCGUCGCUCCUACCGAUUGAAGUUUUCGGUGAGUUGACAGGAGGAUUUUUUUGAAACUGGUUCGCCAGUGGAUUUUAGAUCCAAAUGCCAACGAAUCGAUGGCUUUAGAGGAAGGAGAAGUCGUAACA
Molecule: ribosomal RNA, 332 nt
Filed under: uncultured eukaryote
Lineage: Eukaryota
Description: partial 18S ribosomal RNA
Rfam family: Eukaryotic small subunit ribosomal RNA
Source: RNAcentral